Molecule: ribosomal RNA, 436 nt
Filed under: uncultured Actinomycetes bacterium
Lineage: Bacteria; Bacillati; Actinomycetota; Actinomycetes
Description: bacterial SSU rRNA
Rfam family: Bacterial small subunit ribosomal RNA
Source: RNAcentral
GGGCCCGCACAAGCGGCGGAGCAUGUGGCUUAAUUCGAUGCAACGCGAAGAACCUUACCAAGGCUUGACAUACACCGGAAUCACUCAGAGAUGGGUGCGUCUUCGGACUGGUGUACAGGUGGUGCAUGGUUGUCGUCAGCUCGUGUCGUGAGAUGUUGGGUUAAGUCCCGCAACGAGCGCAACCCUCGUUCCAUGUUGCCAGCAACACCUUCGGGUGGUUGGGGACUCAUGGGAGACUGCCGGGGUCAACUCGGAGGAAGGUGGGGAUGACGUCAAAUCAUCAUGCCCCUUAUGUCUUGGGCUUCACGCAUGCUACAAUGGCCGGUACAAAGGGCUGCGAUACCGCGAGGUGGAGCGAAUCCCAAAAAACCGGUCUCAGUUCGGAUUGGGGUCUGCAACUCGACCCCAUGAAGUCGGAGUCGCUAGUAAUCGCAGA